GACGAACGCUGGCGGCGUGCCUAAUACAUGCAAGUAGAACGCUGAAGAGAGGAGCUUGCUCUUCUUGGAUGAGUUGCGAACGGGUGAGUAACGCGUAGGUAACCUGCCUUGUAGCGGGGGAUAACUAUUGGAAACGAUAGCUAAUACCGCAUAACAAUGGAUGACACAUGUCAUUUAUUUGAAAGGGGCAAUUGCUCCACUACAAGAUGGACUGCGUUGGAUUAGCUAGUAGGUGAGGUAAUGGCUCACCUAGGCGACGAUACAUAGCCGACCUGAGAGGGUGAUCGGCCACACUGGGACUGAGACACGGCCCAGACUCCUACGGGAGGCAGCAGUAGGGAAUCUUCGGCAAUGGGGGCAACCCUGACCGAGCAACGCCGCGUGAGUGAAGAAGGUUUUCGGAUCGUAAAGCUCUGUUGUAAGUCAAGAACGGGUGUGAGAGUGGAAAGUUCACACUGUGACGGUAGCUUACCAGAAAGGGACGGCUAACUACGUG
Molecule: ribosomal RNA, 496 nt
Filed under: uncultured bacterium
Lineage: Bacteria
Description: partial 16S ribosomal RNA
Rfam family: Bacterial small subunit ribosomal RNA
Source: RNAcentral